Molecule: ribosomal RNA, 442 nt
Filed under: uncultured bacterium
Lineage: Bacteria
Description: partial 16S ribosomal RNA
Rfam family: Bacterial small subunit ribosomal RNA
Source: RNAcentral
CCUACGGGAGGCAGCAGUAGGGAAUCUUUCACAAUGGGCGAAAGCCUGAUGGAGCAACGCCGCGUGCAGGAUGAAGGCCUUAGGGUUGUAAACUGCUUUUAUAAGCGAGAAAUAAGAUGGUAACUUAUGAAUAAGGAUCGGCUAACUACGUGCCAGCAGCCGCGGUACUACGUAGGAUGCGAGCAUUAUCCGGAGUGACUGGGGGUAAAGAGUUGCGUAGGGGGCAUAAUAAGUAGCUAGUGAAAUCUGGUGGCUCAACCAUUCAGACUAUUAGCUAAACUGUUAAGCUCGAGACCGUUAGGGGUAACUGGAAUUUCUAGUGUAGGAGUGAAAUCUGUAGAUAUUAGAAGGAACACCAAUAGCGUAGGCAGGUUGCUGGGACGGUUCUGACACUAAGGCACGAAAGCGUAGGGAGCAAACGGGAUUAGAUACCCGAGUAGUC